GGCACGACGCUUAGGCGCUAUGCUAGCAUGAUGCAUGCCAAGGACUUGAGGAGGAGAGGUGACUUCGGUUGAGCUCCAGAGGUCUACGACCCCCUGCGGAGAGGCACCUCGUAGCGGCCGCGCCGUCGUCGGCACCGCGACGACAGCAAUCGGCGGACCUAAGACCUCACCCGUACCACCUGCGGCGCCGCCGACCCGUCCCGAGACGCCCGGGUCCCGGAGUCCCCGUGGGCCAUGGCGGAGAAGUCGCCGCUGCGUGGCCUCCUGCGGGCCGAGUUGUCCCUCCGAGCUAGUGUCGGGUACGGCGAACCGAGGGUGCUGUAGUAGGGAGCGCACGUGGGGUACGAGACGUUGCGGCAAUUCCUCGUGCCAUUAGAAAGUCAGCGGUUUAAGUGUUCAAGAAAACUUGAAAAAGAAAAGAGGGAGCAAUCCCUACAGGAGACGAAGACUAUGUAUCGUCCCUUUUACGGUAAGUGAACCAAACCGGGUUGCGGUUCCCACUACUAAAGACUGGGCCUGGAUCACUCUCUUUAAGACAGGUUGUUCGAGCCUGUGAUAGCCUUUGUUUCCUCAUCGGCAUACCCCUUCGACGAUCGGCUGCCUCAGCGUUUAGUACUUCCUCUCUUUACCCGUUUCGUGGCUUCUUAGGAGUUAGGACGGAAAGUGGUACUCUUCUAUUUCUCCUAUGACGGUCAAAAAAGAUGGACAACGCUUCUUUACCAAUGUUCCACCCUUUUAAGGUACAGGCCACUUCCCAAUAGACUCUAACUGUGUACAAGACUCAAAGUCUUAGAAUGCCCUCUACAGUAGCGUUCUUGUAGUAAACCAUCGUUAAUAGUCCUUCCCUUCUUUUAUAAGGUCGACGUUCCCCUCAAUCGAUUUUCUGACUACGUCCGGAAAGUCUGUAAAAAAUAGGGUCCGAUAACCAAGAAUGGUUGUUUUUUAUUAUCUUCCUACUCUCGUUAACUAGCACUUUAGGCGUACUAAUACGUUCCGUAAUAACCUUUUUUUCUUUCUCGAUAAUUUUUACCACUUCGGUCGUCGUUACUGAACGAUCCUAACGACAACCUCAGUUUAUACGUUGUUAGUUUACCCUUCCGUCCGGUUCCCUACUCAUAACUACUAUAUUAACUCCUUACGUUCGAUAAAAUGAAACGUCCGUACCUCUGUUGUAGCCAGAACGAGUGUACCUGUGACUAACACGAUUCGUACGUGGGUCUCACCGUUCUCGUCCGUUCUCUCCUUCACAACGUAGUGAAGCCUGCUCGGUGUGGUCUAAUACUCGUGGACUCAGCGGACUUCUAACAUUGUUACUAAAGCAUACUCCAAGAAUCCAACAUAGGCGGUCAUUGGAUAGAAUGGUCUUCUUGAAUGUUCCGUUGCCUCGAACCGUCGUAGUUUAUAGGAUUUCCUCACUGGGAAUAAAACGGGGAAGAGAAGUAGGUGGUACUAGGACUAUAAACCCCUCUUCUACGUUCACUUAAGUUAGGUGUCUCCAAACGACUACCGUAGAGCUCGCGGCGCUUCGUAGGCAGCCGCAAGAAGGGCAAACCUCCCCCAGGUGCCUAGACGUAGCCGGUCUUGAAACGCAACGAUCUUCGAUUCUACCGUGACUCGUGGUAAGAGGUCGCGAAGAGCAAACUCGAGAGCGGCAGGAUGUGCGUGCGCGGCAUGUGGUACUACUGGGAGGUCGGCGUCGUGCCACGAGUUUAAUCCGACUCCUUCUAUACUAGUACGAAGAGUAGCCCGUCACUUAAAUGAAUGCACAACGUAUAUCAAAUUUCAAAAUAGAAAGCCGACUUAUUUGAUAUAUGAUGAGGGGGGUAAGGAUUCAUAAACAGAAAAAUCUCUAAGUUUACUUGAUAGUGUAUGUCUACAUAUAUUUGUAUAAAAUCUCACAUGUAAGUGAGUAAAACGAAGCAUACAUCAGUGAACAAUUUUUGAGAUCUUUCUGUUUAUAAAUCCUUGUCUCCCUCAUCAUCAAUGUCAACUUGACGAGCAAAGGAAGUCAAGUAUUAUCAUGAUGACGUUCAGACAUUGACAGUAAAUUACCUUGAGGAAAGUAGUCCGACGUGUUUGUAUUUACUACUGUUACAAUUGAGAGAGCUG
This 2109-nucleotide ribosomal RNA is filed under the name Triticum aestivum (bread wheat). RNAcentral's name for it is "partial small subunit ribosomal RNA". Lineage: Eukaryota; Viridiplantae; Streptophyta; Magnoliopsida; Poales; Poaceae. The record is from RNAcentral.